GUGAGGAAUAUUGGUCAAUGGGCGUAAGCCUGAACCAGCCAAGUCGCGUGAGGGAUGAAGGAUCUAUGGUUCGUAAACCUCUUUUAUAAGGGAAUAAAGUGCGGGACGUGUCCUGUUUUGUAUGUAUCUUAUGAAUAAGGAUCGGCUAACUCCGUGCCAGCAGCCGCGGUAAUACGGAGGAUCCGAGCGUUAUCCGGAUUUAUUGGGUUUAAAGGGUGCGUAGGCGGCCUUUUAAGUUAGCGGUGAAAGCCUGUGGCUCAACCAUAGAAUUGCCGUUGAAACUAGGAGGCUUGAGUAUGUUUGAGGCAGGCGGAAUGCGUGGUGUAGCGGUGAAAUGCAUAGAUAUCAGGCAGAACACCGAUUGCGAAGGCAGCCUGCCAAGCCAUGACUGACGCUGAUGCACGAAAGCGUGGGGAUCGAACAGG
This 425-nucleotide ribosomal RNA is filed under the name uncultured bacterium. RNAcentral describes it as "bacterial SSU rRNA". It matches the Rfam family "Bacterial small subunit ribosomal RNA", at positions 354 to 776 of the family's 1533-position model. The record is from RNAcentral.